Molecule: ribosomal RNA, 459 nt
Filed under: uncultured bacterium
Lineage: Bacteria
Description: partial 16S ribosomal RNA
Rfam family: Bacterial small subunit ribosomal RNA
Source: RNAcentral
CCUACGGGUGGCAGCAGUGAGGAAUAUUGGUCAAUGGGCGGGAGCCUGAACCAGCCAAGCCGCGUGAGGGAAGAAGGCGCCAAGCGUCGUAAACUUCUUUUGUCGGGGAACAAAGGCCGCCACGCGUGCCGGUGUGAGUGUACCUGAAGAAAAAGCAUCGGCUAACUCCGUGCCAGCAGCCGCGGUAAUACGGAGGAUGCGAGCGUUAUCCGGAUUUAUUGGGUUUAAAGGGUGCGUAGGCGGUCGGGAAAGUCAGCGGUAAAAGCCCGGGGCUCAACCCCGGCCAGCCGUUGAAACUGGCAGACUAGAGAGGGCGAGAAGUACGCGGAAUGCGCGGUGUAGCGGUGAAAUGCAUAGAUAUCGCGCAGAACUCCGAUUGCGAAGGCAGCGUGCCGGCGCCAGACUGACGCUGAGGCACGAAAGCGUGGGUAUCGAACAGGAUUAGAUACCCGUGUAGUC